RNAcentral lists this ribosomal RNA (465 nucleotides) under Vreelandella stevensii. RNAcentral describes it as "partial 16S ribosomal RNA". It matches the Rfam family "Bacterial small subunit ribosomal RNA", at positions 338 to 795 of the family's 1533-position model. The record is from RNAcentral. Lineage: Bacteria; Pseudomonadati; Pseudomonadota; Gammaproteobacteria; Oceanospirillales; Halomonadaceae.
CCUACGGGCGGCAGCAGUGGGGAAUAUUGGACAAUGGGGGGAACCCUGAUCCAGCCAUGCCGCGUGUGCGAAGAAGGCCCUCGGGUUGUAAAGCACUUUCAGUGAGGAAGAACGCCUGGUGGUUAAUACCCAUCAGGAAAGACAUCACUCACAGAAGAAGCACCGGCUAACUCCGUGCCAGCAGCCGCGGUAAUACGGAGGGUGCGAGCGUUAAUCGGAAUUACUGGGCGUAAAGCGCGCGUAGGUGGCUUGAUAAGCCGGUUGUGAAAGCCCGGGGCUCAACCUGGGAACGGCAUCCGGAACUGUCAAGCUAGAGUGCAGGAGAGGAAGGUAGAAUUCCCGGUGUAGCGGUGAAAUGCGUAGAGAUCGGGAGGAAUACCAGUGGCGAAGGCGGCCUUCUGGACUGACACUGACACUGAGGUGCGAAAGCGUGGGUAGCAAACAGGAUUAGAUACCCUAGUAGUC